RNAcentral lists this ribosomal RNA (323 nucleotides) under uncultured eukaryote. RNAcentral describes it as "partial 18S ribosomal RNA". It matches the Rfam family "Eukaryotic small subunit ribosomal RNA", at positions 1470 to 1796 of the family's 1831-position model. The record is from RNAcentral.
CCCUUAGAUGUUCUGGGCAGCACGCGCGCUACAAUGGUCUUCGCAAACGGAUGCAUUCUCGAAGGAGAAUGCCAAUCUUGGAAUCUAUGCCUUGGUCGGGACAGUUGCUUGCAAUUUUUCGACUCGAACCAGGAAUUCCUUGUAAUCGUGAUUCAUCACAUCACGAUGAAUACGUCCCUGCCCUUUGUACACACCGCCCGUCGCUACUACCGAUUGAAUGGCUUAGUGAGGUCUCCGGAUUGGCGUCGGGGAUCCGGCAACGGAACCCCUUCGCUGAGAAGCUGAUCAAACUUGGUCAUUUAGAGGAAGUAAAAGUCGUAACA